RNAcentral lists this ribosomal RNA (484 nucleotides) under uncultured bacterium. Its description in RNAcentral is "partial 16S ribosomal RNA". It matches the Rfam family "Bacterial small subunit ribosomal RNA", at positions 30 to 507 of the family's 1533-position model. The record is from RNAcentral.
AUUGAACGCUGGCGGCAGGCCUAACACAUGCCAGUCGAGCGGAUGAAGGGAGCUUGCUCCUGGAUUCAGCGGCGGACGGGUGAGUAAUGCCUAGGAAUCUGCCUUGUAGUGGGGGAUAACGUCCGUAAACGGGCGCUAAUACCGCAUACGUCCUGAGGGAGAAAGUGGGGGAUCUUCGGACCUCACGCUAUCAGAUGAGCCUAGGUCGGAUUAGCUAGUUGGUGGGGUAAAGGCCUACCAAGGCGACGAUCCGUAACUGAUCUGAGAGGAUGAUCAGUCACACUGGAACUGAGACACGGUCCAGACUCCUACGGGAGGCAGCAGUGGGGAAUAUUGGACAAUGGGCGAAAGCCUGAUCGAGCAAUGCCGCGUGUGUGAAGAAGGUCUUCGGAUUGUAAAGCACUUUAAGUUGGGAGGAAGGGCAGUAAGUUAAUACCUUGCUGUUUUGACGGUACCAAAAGAAUAAGCACCGGCUAACUUCGUG